RNAcentral lists this ribosomal RNA (207 nucleotides) under uncultured Symbiodinium. RNAcentral describes it as "partial Eukaryotic large subunit ribosomal RNA". It matches the Rfam family "Eukaryotic large subunit ribosomal RNA", at positions 2699 to 2907 of the family's 3401-position model. The record is from RNAcentral. Lineage: Eukaryota; Dinophyceae; Suessiales; Symbiodiniaceae.
GAACAAAAGGGUAAAAGCUCACUUGAUUUUGAUUCAGUAUGAAUACAAACUGUGAAAGCAUGGCCUAUCGAUCCUUUAGUCCUUAGGAGUUUUAAGCUAGAGGUGUCAGAAAAGUUACCACAGGGAUAACUGGCUUGUGGCAGGCAAGCGUUCAUAGCGACGUUGCUUUUUGAUCCUUCGAUGUCGGCUCUUCCUAUCAUUGCGAAG